Molecule: ribosomal RNA, 647 nt
Filed under: Marinobacter alkaliphilus
Lineage: Bacteria; Pseudomonadati; Pseudomonadota; Gammaproteobacteria; Pseudomonadales; Marinobacteraceae
Description: bacterial SSU rRNA
Rfam family: Bacterial small subunit ribosomal RNA
Source: RNAcentral
GAGCGGUAACAGGGGGUGCUUGCACCCCGCUGACGAGCGGCGGACGGGUGAGUAAUGCUUAGGAAUCUGCCCAGUAGUGGGGGAUAGCCCGGGGAAACCCGGAUUAAUACCGCAUACGUCCUACGGGAGAAAGCAGGGGAUCUUCGGACCUUGCGCUAUUGGAUGAGCCUAAGUCGGAUUAGCUAGUUGGUGGGGUAAAGGCCUACCAAGGCGACAAUCCGUAUCUGGUCUGAGAGGAUGAUCAGCCACAUCGGGACUGAGACACGGCCCGAACUCCUACGGGAGGCAGCAGUGGGGAAUAUUGGACAAUGGGGGCAACCCUGAUCCAGCCAUGCCGCGUGUGUGAAGAAGGCUUUCGGGUUGUAAAGCACUUUCAGCGAGGAGGAAGGCCUUAAAGUUAAUACCUUUGAGGAUUGACGUUACUCGCAGAAGAAGCACCGGCUAACUCCGUGCCAGCAGCCGCGGUAAUACGGAGGGUGCAGGCGUUAAUCGGAAUUACUGGGCGUAAAGCGCGCGUAGGUGGUUAGGUAAGCGAGAUGUGAAAGCCCCGGGCUUAACCUGGGGAACGGCAUUUCGAACUGUCUGACUAGAGUGUGGUAGAGGGUAGUGGAAUUUCCUGUGUAGCGGUGAAAUGCGUAGAUAUCGGA